UACGAAGGGGACUAGCGUUGUUCGGAAUCACUGGGCGUAAAGCGCACGUAGGCGGAUUUGUAAGUCAGGGGUGAAAUCCCGGGGGCUCAACCUCGGAACUGCCUUUGAUACUGCGAAUCUUGAGUCCGAUAGAGGUGGGUGGAAUUCCUAGUGUAGAGGUGAAAUUCGUAGAUAUUAGGAAGAACACCAGUGGCGAAGGCGGCCCACUGGAUCGGUACUGACGCUGAGGUGCGAAAGCGUGGGGAGCAAACAGG
Molecule: ribosomal RNA, 254 nt
Filed under: uncultured bacterium
Lineage: Bacteria
Description: partial 16S ribosomal RNA
Rfam family: Bacterial small subunit ribosomal RNA
Source: RNAcentral